RNAcentral lists this long non-coding RNA (260 nucleotides) under Lathyrus oleraceus (garden pea). Its description in RNAcentral is "Pisum sativum (pea) long non-coding RNA (PSAT_LNC008099)". Lineage: Eukaryota; Viridiplantae; Streptophyta; Magnoliopsida; Fabales; Fabaceae. The record is from RNAcentral.
UCCCCUUCUGGUAUCUUCCCGUCUAACCAUCGAACCAGCUCCCUCUUCAGUUGAUCUAACGUGGUGAUGUUCCAAAACAGCAUCACCAAUUGAGGUUUGUCUCUCGCAUAAAUCACCUUACCGUAUCGGCGACGAACACCAAACUGAUAGCCAAAUGAUUAUUUGAGUUGUGGAACAAUAGGUCACACAACGCAUCUAUUUAUAAUACAAAAAGGCAUUUUAUGAUGGACUCGGCAAUUGAGUUGGCGCCUCCUUUUAAA